CAGGCCAGGUUCCUGAGAGCAGACAGCGCGGGCGGGGAGCGCCGGCAAGGGCGGCCCUCGCGCGCCUGGCUGCCAGCCCGCAGGGGGCUCACACGCAGACCUGCCCUUGCCACCUCAGCGCUCGGGUGCGGGCUGGGGGCGGUGGAGCCAGGAAAGGUGGUGCGGAGAGCGGAGCGCAGGACAGCGCAAGAGCCCCGGCGCAGCGCGGCGCGCACAGACCCAGGAUUUGUGAAGAGGUGACCCAAAUUUCAGGACAAUGUUGGAUGCAAACGGAUUUGCCAGCAAUUGCGUCACUGUCAAAACCAGCUCUGCCCGUGUCUUCCGAAGAUACCAAGUGAAAUACGUGUAGAUGGGAUUUACAUCUGAAAAACCAAGGCAAGAGGCCAUGGGAAGGGAUGGAGGUGGAACAGGACCGGACAGAAGCUGAUAAAUGGUUGUUGCUGAGUACCGGGCAGAUAGGGGUUGGUUAUUCUAUUUUCUUUACUUUCAUAUAUUUUAUUUUUUCUGUAAUAAAACAAAUUAAAAUCACCUGUCUUGAUCUCACAGGGGCCAAUGUGGGUUGUGGCCUGAGGCAGGAAGCUCUGCAGAGUUCCUUGGUCAAAAGGAUUAAUUACAAAAGAACUCCACGAACACCGAGAAGAAAAGGGAAUCCUGGACAUUUAAAGCCACAAAGAAACUUGAUAUGGUCUUGUCUCCUUCUCUCAACUGACAAUGAGAAACUGAAGACAAGAGAGGGUGAGUGGCUUACCCAGUUUGGCACAACUGACCCCAACCUAGCCCUCCUUGAGGACUGAGUGCAUGAGAGAUCCUGAGCCACAGCCUCCCAGCCCUGCUCCUCUCGAAUUUCUGACCUACAGGAACUGCAAGAAGUAAUGAAAGACUGCUGUUUAAAGCCACUGCAUUUUGGCAUGAUUUGUUAUGCAGUCAUAGGUAACCAGAAAACAUCGGAUUUACAUUU
This 958-nucleotide long non-coding RNA is filed under the name Pongo abelii (Sumatran orangutan). Its description in RNAcentral is "lincRNA". Lineage: Eukaryota; Metazoa; Chordata; Mammalia; Primates; Hominidae. The record is from RNAcentral.